Molecule: ribosomal RNA, 253 nt
Filed under: uncultured bacterium
Lineage: Bacteria
Description: partial 16S ribosomal RNA
Rfam family: Bacterial small subunit ribosomal RNA
Source: RNAcentral
UACGUAGGGGGCAAGCGUUGUCCGGAAUUAUUGGGCGUAAAGAGCGUGUAGGCGGUCCGGUAAGUCCGCUGUGAAAGUCCAGGGCUCAACCCUGGAAUGCCGGUGGAUACUGCCGGGCUAGAGUCCGGAAGAGGCGAGUGGAAUUCCUGGUGUAGCGGUGAAAUGCGCAGAUAUCAGGAGGAACACCGGUGGUGUAGACGGCUCUCUGGACCGCCACUGACGCUGAGACACGAAAGCGUGGGUAGCAAACAGG